GCUUACGGCCACACCUCCCUGAGCACGCCCGAGCUUGUCUGAUCUCGGAAGCUAAGCAGGGUCGGGCCCGGUUAGUACUUGAAUGGGAGACCGCCUGGGAAUACCAGGUGCUGUAAGCC
RNAcentral lists this ribosomal RNA (119 nucleotides) under Esox lucius (northern pike). Lineage: Eukaryota; Metazoa; Chordata; Actinopteri; Esociformes; Esocidae. The record is from RNAcentral.